GACGAACGCUGGCGGCGUGCUUAACACAUGCAAGUCGAACGGAAAGGCCCUGCUUUUGUGGGGUGCUCGAGUGGCGAACGGGUGAGUAACACGUGAGUAACCUGCCCUUGACUUUGGGAUAACUUCAGGAAACUGGGGCUAAUACCGGAUAGGAGCUCCUGCUGCAUGGUGGGGGUUGGAAAGUUUCGGCGGUUGGGGAUGGACUCGCGGCUUAUCAGCUUGUUGGUGUGGUAGUGGCUUACCAAGGCUUUGACGGGUAGCCGGCCUGAGAGGGUGACCGGCCACAUUGGGACUGAGAUGCGGCCCAGACUCCUACGGGAGGCAACAGUGGGGAAUAGUGCACAAUGGGCGGAAGCCUAGUGCAGCAACGCAGCGUGCGGGAUGACGGCCUUCGGGUUGGAAACCGCUUUCGCCUGUGACGAAGCGUGAGUGACGGUAAUGGGUAAAGAAGCACCGGCUAACUACGUG
Molecule: ribosomal RNA, 468 nt
Filed under: uncultured bacterium
Lineage: Bacteria
Description: partial 16S ribosomal RNA
Rfam family: Bacterial small subunit ribosomal RNA
Source: RNAcentral